ACGGUCGAACAUUGUAAUCGAUAGGUAGACUAAGUAUUGUAAGAGAAAUCUAGUAUUUGUUAAUUUAUCCGAUCUCGUAUGGAUUUCUUGGCCCUUGAAGUGCGGGCCUACUAAUAUCGGUUUAAUGGAUGCCGCCAUAAAUUGUGCUUCUCAUUGUCUUGUGAAUCGUAGGAGGGCACACUGCGAAUAAAACGAUCGCCCCGAUCGCACCAAUCGAGCGCCACCAGGCGCACGCCGCCCUUAAAGUUCACCC
Drosophila suzukii is the source of this 253-nucleotide non-coding RNA. Lineage: Eukaryota; Metazoa; Arthropoda; Insecta; Diptera; Drosophilidae. The record is from RefSeq and is a predicted model, not a curated record.